CUGAAUACUUUUAAUUACAGAGCAAGAAAUUGAUGAGGAAAGUUUUUACUGUCUUAAUGAUCAAGAAAUUGAAAAAAUGAUCCCAAAAGCGGGACCCAGGACAAAAUUCAAGGAGAGACUCAGGUUGUUAAAGAAACAAAAUAUAAGAAAUCCAGACACAGGUGAUUCUUUCGCUCAAUGUCAACAGAAGCAUGAAGAAGCAGUUUUUUCUGUUCAGGAUUGUCCUUCCACAAGUGGCAC
Plectropomus leopardus (leopard coralgrouper) is the source of this 240-nucleotide non-coding RNA. Lineage: Eukaryota; Metazoa; Chordata; Actinopteri; Perciformes; Serranidae. The record is from RefSeq and is a predicted model, not a curated record.